Molecule: transfer RNA, 74 nt
Filed under: Gemmatimonadota bacterium
Lineage: Bacteria; Pseudomonadati; Gemmatimonadota
Description: tRNA-Ile
Rfam family: tRNA
About the family: Transfer RNA (tRNA) molecules are approximately 80 nucleotides in length.
Source: RNAcentral
GGGCCUGUAGCUCAUGUGGUUAGAGCUCACGCCUGAUAAGCGUGAUGUCGGUAGUUCAACUCUACCCAGGCCCA